Molecule: long non-coding RNA, 837 nt
Filed under: Malus domestica (apple)
Lineage: Eukaryota; Viridiplantae; Streptophyta; Magnoliopsida; Rosales; Rosaceae
Description: long non-coding RNA (MDOM_LNC001637)
Source: RNAcentral
GAGCUCUAGCUUCAAAAGCUUCAUUUACAAGAGCUCUAGCUUCAAAGACUUCAUUUACAGAGCUCUAGCUUCAAAAGCUUCAUUUACAAGAGCUCUAGCUUCAAAGACUUCAUUUACAGAGCUCUAGCUUCAAAAGCUUCAUUUACAAGAGCUCUAGCUUCAAAGACUUCAUUUACAGAGCUUUAGAUUCAAAAGCUUCAUUUACAAAAGCUCUAGCUUUAAAAGCUUCAUUUACAGAGCUCUAGCUUCAAAGCUUCACUUGCAAAGCUUCACUUACAAAGCUUCAGUGCAGGGUAUACAAAUACCGCCUCCGAACAACCGCCACUUCGGCCCAUACAUGGAUUCAAUUUGAAGUCUCCAGCCAACAGACUCUAUUGACCGAAGACUUGGGGGACUACAUUAUAUACCAUAUAUUGGGCCUCAAUUGGGCCUCAUGAAAAAUAUUUGGGGGACUUAGCCCAUUAUUUAUGUAUUAAGGAGCGAGCCCUUAUUCUAUAAAAGGGACUCCCUCACCAUCAUUAGAGAGCAUCAACUCUAGCCCAUCAUUCAUGUAUUGAGGAGCGAGCCCUUAUUCUAUAAAAGGGACUCCCUCACCUUCAACGCCACAAGUUGAGCCAACCAAGGCAACAUAAGCUACAAGCAAAGCGGCCUCACAACAUGUGCUACUUCUAGUUGAACAUCAUUUCAGAUUGGGCACCGCCUCAUAUCGAGCAUCAGUUCUAGACGACAUUUAGUUACUUCGGCCCACACAUGGACUGAAUUUCAAGUCUCCAGCCAAAAGACUCUCUUGACUGAAGACUUGGGGGACUACUGUUUAUACCAUAUUUAGGGCCUCGU